ACCUUGAUAUAUAUAAACAACAGAGUACACAGUACGGUUUGGAGCUUAUAUAACUCAUACAAAACAGUGCGAACCUUCAGCAGCAAACAAGUACAAAAUAUGAAAAACUGCAGCGAACUAGAAUCACCGACAUCCCGAUUGCCAGCAUGGUCCAGCUAUGAUGAACCAUAAGCAUCAAUAUGUGGACUUCGGCAUGACAGAAUCUCCAGCAGAUAUGAAGUAUAAGAUAAUCGGUUAUAAUAAUAUAGAGUGUUGUGGCCAA
Molecule: long non-coding RNA, 262 nt
Filed under: Elaeis guineensis (African oil palm)
Lineage: Eukaryota; Viridiplantae; Streptophyta; Magnoliopsida; Arecales; Arecaceae
Description: long non-coding RNA (EGUI_LNC024721)
Source: RNAcentral